AGCAUUGCGCAGUGGCAGUAUCAUAGCCAAUGAGGUUUAUCCGAGGCACAAUCACUGGUAAUUGAAAACUUCCCGAUACCCCACCAUGAUGACUUGAAAUACAGUCAGCAUUGGCACUUUUUGGCAGUCUCUACGGGGA
Molecule: small nuclear RNA, 139 nt
Organism: Callithrix jacchus (white-tufted-ear marmoset)
Lineage: Eukaryota; Metazoa; Chordata; Mammalia; Primates; Cebidae
Gene: U4
Rfam family: U4 spliceosomal RNA
About the family: U4 small nuclear RNA (U4 snRNA) is a component of the major U2-dependent spliceosome. The structure of U4 snRNA from yeast and human has been reported.
Source: Ensembl